GGCAGUUCUCAGGUGAUGCACCCUGGAAUCAGGCUCCCUCCUCUCUGGUUCCAGGUGUGUCACCCGAGAACCAUA
Molecule: non-coding RNA, 75 nt
Organism: Myotis davidii
Lineage: Eukaryota; Metazoa; Chordata; Mammalia; Chiroptera; Vespertilionidae
Source: Rfam